AUCCAACUGACGAGUUCCAAAUUGGACGAAACGCGCGUCCUGGAU
This 45-nucleotide non-coding RNA is filed under the name Schistosoma mansoni. Lineage: Eukaryota; Metazoa; Platyhelminthes; Trematoda; Strigeidida; Schistosomatidae. The record is from RNAcentral.